UGGCCCGGAAGGGGCAGCGGAUAAUAGGGAAACAGGUGAAAGGCCUGUACGAUCUCGUCACUGUAUGCAGGGAACUUGCCGUCUUUGUCAGAAAACGACAGUCACUGAGGAAACUUGGGAAGACGAUGGCAUGUGAUGAUCUGCGAGUCAGGAGACCUGCCGGUUGC
Molecule: non-coding RNA, 167 nt
Filed under: pig gut metagenome
Source: RNAcentral